This 727-nucleotide long non-coding RNA is filed under the name Ananas comosus (pineapple). Its description in RNAcentral is "long non-coding RNA (ACOM_LNC039488)". The record is from RNAcentral. Lineage: Eukaryota; Viridiplantae; Streptophyta; Magnoliopsida; Poales; Bromeliaceae.
AUAUAUAUAUAGAGCUAGGCUACUAUACUAUCUAUAGUACCGAAGAUAGUGUUGGUUUUCGAUCUUAGGGCGUUCAAAUCAACGAUCCACACCGUUAAAACUGAUUUAGGGUAUUUAAAGUUUCUAGAAAUAAAAUUUUAUAUUUUUUCGACAUAGUUUACUUUAUGAUCAAACUAUUUCAAAAUUGUCAAUUUUCAAUGGCUAUUAUGACGAGUUUGGAGUUUAACGGUGUAGAAGAAUCUAAAUUUCUACAAAUUUUGAUAGAAAAUACUUUAAACUAUAUAGAUUAAGGUUAACAUUCUUGAUCUUGAAUUUAAAAGUUCUAUGCUCAAAUUUUAAAGAUUAUUCAAUUUUCACCGUCCAUUUUGAUAUAAUUUAUUUACUAAGUAAACGAUAUCGAAAAAAACUAAAAUUUUAUUCCUAAGAAAUUCAUAUACCCUAGAUCAUAUUUAACGGUGUGGAUCGUUAAUUUGAACGCCCUAAGAUCGAAAACAAACACUAUAGUACCGGAGCUCAGUACUAUAGAUAGUAUAGUAGCCUAAUUCUAUAUAUAUAUAUAUAUAUAGAACUAGGCUAGAAUAUUAUUAGUAGUAUCAAGUUGUUGGUGCUAUUAAGUUUUUGGCACUUGGAUGAAACGAUGUACGACUAGGAUGAUAGUGGUCGCCUAGGAUUAAGUGGGUGGUUAGUUGAAUAGUAUGAUUUAACAGUUGAAAAUGGCCAGAUAGAU